Molecule: long non-coding RNA, 1987 nt
Organism: Phragmites australis (common reed)
Lineage: Eukaryota; Viridiplantae; Streptophyta; Magnoliopsida; Poales; Poaceae
Exons: 5
Source: RefSeq, a predicted model, not a curated record
AUGGGGCGCGUGGCAUGCCAUAAGAUGGUGCAAUUUGCAGACGUCUUCUCUGAUAAUAUAGACGCACGGGUCUGGAGACAUGUGUGCUUAUACACAUUCACCGAGACUCUCGUAUUAAUUUCGCUCCUCCUCCUCGGCCAGGUCGCCUCUUCCUUCUCCGGAUGCGAUCUGCUUUUCCUGGCUUCUUCCUCUAGAUCCAGUUCUCCCGUCGCUGCCGAUGGUUGAUAUUCCAGCGAGAUCCAGGCCAACGUGCUUUGCGGAAGGAAGGGCAAGUAGGCUCGCCUCCAGAUUUGGUCGCGUUUGGGGAAGAUGGACCGGCGACGGCGUUUGGUUGCCUCUUCCUCCUCCAGAUGCGAUUUGUUUGUCUUAUAUUUUUUUCCAUUAUCCCCAGAAGUUGAUUUGAUUUUGAGGUUGAAAGUUAAGAUAUUUGUCUCUUUGUAAUGUUCUGUUUUGAUUGUGUGUGAUAAAAUAGCGUUGACAAAUUUUGGGGAUCUCUAGAUCAUAUACUGACGAUUAGAAUCUAUUGGCAAUUGCUUCUAAUAUUAGAUUCAUCUACACUGUGUCAUAGAUUGAAACUGUAAGGACUGGGCAUGGUAGUUACAUAUUGCGAAUCAAUGAUUAAGUGAUUGAAUGGAAUGUACCGAUAUUAUUUGAUUGUGGUCUCUUUGUGCAGUUAAUAUGUUCUUGCUUUUUUACUAUAUAUAUUGAUAAACAUGAUAUUGGUUGUGAAGUUGAUGACAGUUAUGAUUUUUGAAGUGUAAUGGUUCAGUUCAUAGUUGAAAAGUUAUCAGCGUUGUGCGAGGCUAAGCAUUUGAGCUUGAAUAUUGGAUGUCUAGCAACUUGUGAUUUCCAAAUUAUGAUUUCAAAACCCUAUAAUAAUUGCUUGUCCUUUUAUUCAGUUACUGGUUGAACUCUAAUGAGAACCAUUUAAGUUAAUAUAUAUCCUUUUCAGUUGAACUAAAGUUUGUUAAUUAAAUUCUCAGUGUAGCAUAAAAAUUUUAAUCCAAAAAUGGAUAAUAAGAUUCAGUUGUUGAUAUAAUGCAUUUUAUGUUGGUCUUGGAAAUCGUUUAGUGCAAAUGCAAAUCAACAGUGGCCUUUUCUAACAAAUACUUUGACAGACAAUGCUAAAUUUUACCUUCUCUCCAUCUUUUUCAUUGUACAGCACCAUCUGAAAAACUAAGAAAUCCAAGAUAUGCUCGGACUGAUUUUUCAUAUUUGUACCAGAAGCAAGAGAUAGUCAAAGAAGUCCUCCAGUCUUUAGAAAAGGGCAAUAACAUAUAAGGCGGAGGGGAAAAUAGGGGUUUUUGCAACACUAAGCAUAUUUGGCGAAAUUUCAGUGUGCAACAGUGCAUAGUUUUAGCAGAGCUGCAGAACUGAAUAAGUUGCUUUGUGAGUGCAACUUCACUUCAAUCUGUGUCCAUUCUGGAAUGACCUAGGAAGAAAGAUUGAAACUGGACAACGCUAGCUGCCAGAUUCUUUUGGUGAAGUAUACUGACCUGUCAGAUAACCUGACAUAUUUUUGGUGAAGUCUUAUCGUUGUAUAUAUUAAGAUUUUUUUUGGUGAAGUUGUUGUAUAUAUUAAGGUUUCUUUUGGUGAAGAAGUCCCAUCGCUGUAUAUAUUGAAGUCUGACCUGUCAGAUUUCAGAAGUCUCAUCGCUGUAUAUAUUAUUUGAUUCGGAGAUUGAUCAGUUGGAGUCUGUGUGGGACACGAAGUCUGUAUCAUGGAAUUUAUGAUUUUCCUUUGUACUCUUUAUGGUUACGGAUCGUCGAUCAAUCAAUUCAACGGUUCGUAACUAAUUUGGAGUCUGUGGGACACGAAGUCUGUAUCAUGGACUUUAUGAUUUUCCUUUGUACUCUUUAUGGUUACGGAUCGUCUUCCUUUGUUCGUAACUAAUUUGGAGUCUGUGGGACACGAAGUCUGUAUCAUGGACUUUAUGAUUUUCCUUUUUACUCUUUAUGGUUACGGAUCGUCGAUCAAUCAAUUCAA